This 67-nucleotide transfer RNA is filed under the name Phalangium opilio (common harvesterman). Its description in RNAcentral is "tRNA-Tyr". Lineage: Eukaryota; Metazoa; Arthropoda; Arachnida; Opiliones; Phalangiidae. The record is from RNAcentral.
GGUAAAAUGUCUGAAAAAUAAGAGAUAAAUUGUAAAUUUAUUUAUGGCUUUAAAAAGCCUUUUACUA